Nicotiana tabacum (common tobacco) is the source of this 392-nucleotide non-coding RNA. The record is from RefSeq and is a predicted model, not a curated record. NCBI's taxonomy places the organism in Eukaryota, Viridiplantae, Streptophyta, Magnoliopsida, Solanales, Solanaceae.
GGUAUCCAGUCUUGCUAUCCUUUCUGCGUCCGGAUUAUCUUAGAGUGUGAUUUCAAUAACAUGACAUGCUUGCGGACUUCAUGCUCGGAUCCUAAAAUGUUGUCAGAAAUUGAAAUAAUGAAUCAAGAAUUAGAUUGCAAUGAAGAUAAGUUUUAGGAAAUAAAACAAAGAGUUGGAACAGUUAAAGGAAAAUUGGCUCCAAAUUGGAAAGAUUCCUACAUGGUAACAAAGGUACUACAAAGAGAGCGUCGUACCUGGGAAAUGUCGAAGGAAAAGAUCCUGAAACAACUCUCAACCCAGGUGCAGUCAAAAGGUACUAUGUUGGAUCUUCUAUAUAACAAUAAUGUUCUCCGGUUGAGAUGAAGAAGGCUUUUAUUUUCGUUACCCAAACA